AAAGUACUCCCUCCGUUCUGAAUUACUUGUCACAAGUAUGGAAUGGAUGUAUCUAGAUGUAUUUUAGUUCUAGAUACAUCCAUUUCCGCGACGAGUAAUUUGGAACGGAGGGAGUAGCUU
Non-coding RNA from Triticum urartu, 120 nucleotides. Lineage: Eukaryota; Viridiplantae; Streptophyta; Magnoliopsida; Poales; Poaceae. The record is from Rfam.